GGGGGGGGCAAGCGUUGUUCGGAAUUACUGGGCGUAAAGGGCCAGUAGGCGGCCAACUAAGUCCGACGUGAAAUCCCCAGGCUUAACCUGGGAACUGCGUCGGAUACUGGAUGGCUUGAAUUCGGGAGAGGGAUGCAGAAUUCCAGGUGUAGCGGUGAAAUGCGUAGAUAUCUGGAGGAAUACCGGUGGCGAAGGCGGCAUCCUGGACCGACAUUGACGCUGAACGGCGAAAGCUAGGGGAGCAAACGGGAUUAGAUACCCUGGUAGUCCACGCUGUAAACGAUGAGCACUAGGUGUCGUGGGUAUUGACCCCCGCGGUGCCGCAGCUAACACAUUAAGUGCUCCGCCUGGGGACUACGGCCGCAAGGUUA
This 371-nucleotide ribosomal RNA is filed under the name uncultured bacterium. RNAcentral's name for it is "bacterial SSU rRNA". It matches the Rfam family "Bacterial small subunit ribosomal RNA", at positions 527 to 896 of the family's 1533-position model. The record is from RNAcentral.